RNAcentral lists this long non-coding RNA (1064 nucleotides) under Lonchura striata (white-rumped munia). RNAcentral describes it as "domestica (Bengalese finch) lncRNA (ENSLSDG00000017950.1)". The record is from RNAcentral. Lineage: Eukaryota; Metazoa; Chordata; Aves; Passeriformes; Estrildidae.
UUAAAAUCCUGCAGUUCAAAUCUGAGUGAUAUUUGAAAGGUCCAGCCUGACCCUCUCUAAGUCUGCCUUUUAAUUAACCAGGCUUUUUAUAGCACACUGUGUUCUCCUCCCUGCCAGGGCAACUUGCAGGACUUCUCCAGGUGAGAAUUCCAGAAGCACCUUCACUAGGAUGUUCUGGAUGCAGCAGGAUGGUAACACUCCAGCACAGUAUUGCCAGUACCUGCAUCAGAAGUUGUGUCUGUCACUUAAAUGCACUGAAACAAAGUCUGGUGUGUUCUCUGCCUUCCUGGAUGCCAGAAUGGAGUUCUCUCUGUACCAUAAGCUGAAUGGCAAAAAGAAUCCAGGUGAGUGUUCAGGAAAUGAAGUCUCUUGCCAGACCCAGGUCUAAAACAAUGAAUUCACCAAAUGAGUAAUUUUAAAUCAGCAUCAUUCAGCACCAUUCUUUCCUCCUCUAAUGAGGAUCUGUAAAUAAGAGCAACUGGAGGUUUUAAACUACUGUGCCAUAACUUUGAUUCAAUGAUCUUCGAGGGCUUUUCCAGCCUUAACAAGAGUGUUUCUAUAACUACUGGAAAAAAUCUUGCUCCUUUACUGUGAAGUUAUAAAUGUAUUCGUUUCCAUCAUCAACAGAAAUGUGUCAGAUGCCAAAGGUCUUUUCAUUGUUUUCAGAUUUUCCUUUCCUUGCACUGAUCAGAUUCUCUCCUGCAGAGAUAACAACCACACAAUAGCCCAGCAAAGGAUGGCUGGGUAGGAAUAAGACACCACAGCGAUGGUCAGAUCCAAGUCCAGGACACUGAACUCCAGGCAAGCAGAUUUUAUUUAACAUGGUGGCACCUAAAAUUCAUCUGCACAUCCCAUUCCUCUGACUUCCAGUGCAGGGCUGGGGGCAUUUGCAGAUCCAGAACAUCCUCUUAGCUGGACAAGCAGUGAUGGUUUCUGUCAGCUGCAGCUCAGAGCAGUUGUGUUUGCAAACACUGCACACACACAGGCCCAUUAGGUAUCUACUGUAUUUGUGCAUAGGAAUAACACCCACAUUUCUUUAGUUCUGUCUCCUACAACAAAGGGAA